RNAcentral lists this ribosomal RNA (760 nucleotides) under uncultured Inocybe. RNAcentral describes it as "partial 28S ribosomal RNA". It matches the Rfam family "Eukaryotic large subunit ribosomal RNA", at positions 216 to 962 of the family's 3401-position model. Lineage: Eukaryota; Fungi; Basidiomycota; Agaricomycetes; Agaricales; Cortinariaceae. The record is from RNAcentral.
GAAUCCCGUCUUUGACACGGACUGCCUGCAUGUUAUGGUGCGCUCUCAAAGAGUCGAGUUGUUUGGGAAUGCAGCUCAAAAUGGGUGGUAAAUGCCAUCUAAAGCUAAAUAUUGGCGAGAGACCGAUAGCGAACAAGUACCGUGAGGGAAAGAUGAAAAGAACUUUGGAAAGAGAGUUAAACAGUACGUGAAAUUGCUGAAAGGGAAACGCUUGAAGUCAGUCGCGUCGGCUAGAAAUCAACCUUGCUUUUGCUUGGUGUACUUUCUUGUUGAUGGGUCAGCAUCAAUUUUGACCGUUGGAUAAAGUCGUUGGGAAUGUGGCAUCUUAGGAUGUGUUAUAGCCCAUCGUCGCAUACAGCGGUUGGGAUUGAGGAACUCAGCACGCCCUUCUGGGGACGGGUUUCGACCACGUUUCGUGCUUAGGAUGCUGGCAUAGUGGCUUUAAUCGACCCGUCUUGAAACACGGACCAAGGAGUCUAACAUGCCUGCGAGUGUUUGGGUGGAAAACCCAUGCGCGCAAUGAAAGUGAAAGUUGAGAUCCCCUCAAGGGGAGCAUCGACGCUCGGACCAGAGCUUCUGUGACGGAUCCGCGGUAGAGCAUGUAUGUUGGGACCCGAAAGAUGGUGAACUAUGCCUGAAUAGGGUGAAGCCAGAGGAAACUCUGGUGGAGGCUCGUAGCGAUUCUGACGUGCAAAUCGAUCGUCAAAUUUGGGUAUAGGGGCGAAAGACUAAUCGAACCAUCUAGUAGCUGGUUCCUGCC